GAGGCAGCAGUGGAGUUGCUUCCCCUGCCAGGCGGGCUCGAACCGCACGGGAGCCACUGUCCACCUUGCUUCGUCAGGGCGUUAUCGCCAGCCAGUCCCCUUCCGCAUGCCCAAGAGCAGCCCCAGGAAGCGAGCCCACCACCAUCAGCCCAGCGCCUGUUGAUCGGCCAGGCCUUCUGGGCCGGUCGUACUGGGCCCUUCCUAACCUCCACUCAAAAAAAAGAAAGUCCUAAUGCAAGUAAUCGAAAGAGAAGAUAUUGCAAAACAAAUAAUCAGGUUCUCAUUCUGUCACCCAGGCUGAAGUGCAGUGGCGUACACUGCAGCCUCGAACUCCUGGGAUCAAGUGAUCUCCCUCCUCAGCCUCCCAAGUCACUGGGAUUACAGACUGACAACUGAAUUGAUGAUAUGAUGACAGGCUCAUCCCUCCACUGUAAACUAUGGUAAGUAAUUUGUAUGGCAUUACUUUGAUACUACACAGAUGUCCAGUUCCC
Symphalangus syndactylus (siamang) is the source of this 491-nucleotide long non-coding RNA. RefSeq lists it as uncharacterized. The record is from RefSeq and is a predicted model, not a curated record. NCBI's taxonomy places the organism in Eukaryota, Metazoa, Chordata, Mammalia, Primates, Hylobatidae.